UAGGGAAUAUUGGACAAUGGGUGAGAGCCUGAUCCAGCCAUGCCGCGUGCAGGAAGAAGGCGUUAUGCGUUGUAAACUGCUUUUUGCCAGGGGAUAAAAUGACCGUGCGCGGUUAAUUGAAGGUACCUGGUGAAUAAGCCACGGCUAACUACGUGCCAGCAGCCGCGGUAAUACGUAGGUGGCAAGCGUUGUCCGGAUUUAUUGGGUUUAAAGGGUGCGUAGGUGGCCCUGUAAGUCAGUGGUGAAAUAUCUCAGCUUAACUGAGAGGGUGCCAUUGAUACUGCAGGGCUUGAGUACAGAUGAGGUAGGCGGAAUUGACGGUGUAGCGGUGAAAUGCAUAGAUAUCGUCAAGAACACCGAUAGCGAAGGCAGCUUACCAAGCUGUAACUGACACUGAGGCACGAAAGUAGUGGGGAUCAAACAGGAUUAGAUACCCUUGUAGUCCCUGAGCGGGCUGGCAAGGCGCAU
Molecule: ribosomal RNA, 468 nt
Filed under: uncultured bacterium
Lineage: Bacteria
Description: bacterial SSU rRNA
Rfam family: Bacterial small subunit ribosomal RNA
Source: RNAcentral